GGGGAGGGAAUAUAGGGAGGCAUCAGUGCGCUGAUGGUCCAGGUCCAGUGCGCUGACAAGUCUGUUCGCGCGAGCUCUCUUUGCUCCUGGAAACCCCGACACUUAGGUGCUCAAGCCUACCCCACUGUACCGGCGCAGUCCCAACCUCUGACUACAGGGGUCUGAAGCCCCGCCUAUGCACGCUGGGAUUCGUAGUCUUUCUGGCUCGCCGGUCUCAAUCUCAGCUUCUAUUGGUUGACUUAAACGCCACUCCCGAGACCGCACCAAUCAGGGCGCGCAGGUAGCUCGAGUGCGGGGAGCGGCGGCGGUGCAGCUCAAUCUCAGCAGGGCGGAUUCUGGAGGAGGCUGCUUUGAGGCUGCGCAACACCCGGAGUUCCCACGGUUCGGCGGUCACCGCGGCGGUCACCCGCCCAGGUUUUGUAGGGUAGAGAGUGUUAGCGGAGGCCACGGUGAAGACCAGAAGGGCAUCCCGGUACCCAGGGGAGUCACAGUUGUGGUAGGAAGAAAGAGAUUUGAGGCCAGUUAAGAACUGCCCCACACCGUGCCCGGGACGUUGCUUAUUUAUUGGGAUGUGUUGUUCUUGGACAUGUGCAGUAUUCCAUACUGCUGUGCAUUCCUCCUGGGGGGGCUUUCACAGGGGCCUGGACGGUGUAGGAUGCUCACUGUGGAGCUCUGGGUAUGGUCAGAGAUGACGUGAUGUGCAUGAGAAGUAGGAGGCUGCUGCUGGGCCAACCUGGCUGCUGUCUCACAGAGCAUUUGCUAUUUAUAGUAAUGGGGAGGACUUUCGGGAGUAGCUAACAAACUGGUUAGCUACGGGUACAUAAUUACACGUGGCCGGCAGCACAGUGGCUCGUCAGAAAUACAUGCGUAAAGCACUGGGUCACAGCAUUGUGACCGCUCCAGUGAUAGUAGUGAGGGGACAUCGGGCUCUUGAUCUUCCAGAUCCGCCAUUAUAUAUGUGAUGUGGCAUUGAAAAUAUAGGUACUGAGCCGGGCGUGGUGGUGCAUACUUGUAAUCCCAGCAUCCUGGAGGCAGAGGCAGGCGGAUUUCUCUGAGUUUGAGGACAGCCUGAUUUAUAGAGUGAGUCCAGGACAGCCAAGACUAUUACACAGAAAAACCAAACCCUGUCUUGAAAAAACAAAAAAGAAAGGAAAAUACAAGUAUUAAGCUAUCACUCUCUCACUGGAAGUUAUGUCACUGAGGCCUCCUACCAACAGCUUUGAUUCUGUUUGCUUAGGAAUAUAUUAGAUGCUUGUGGUUUCUGUGAUGGUAAAAGAUAAUUUUUUUUAAGGUGAAGUUAUCACUGUACACAUCUUAAAAAUGAGCG
RNAcentral lists this long non-coding RNA (1327 nucleotides) under Meriones unguiculatus (Mongolian gerbil). RNAcentral's name for it is "lncRNA (ENSMUGG00000001087.1)". Lineage: Eukaryota; Metazoa; Chordata; Mammalia; Rodentia; Muridae. The record is from RNAcentral.